Molecule: ribosomal RNA, 399 nt
Filed under: Megastylus sp. NQLD
Lineage: Eukaryota; Metazoa; Arthropoda; Insecta; Hymenoptera; Ichneumonidae
Description: partial 16S ribosomal RNA
Source: RNAcentral
AUCAAUAGUUUUUUAAUUAAAAGCUGGAAUGAAAGAUUAAAUGAAAUACAAACUUUUUAGAUUUUAUAUAUAAAAUUUUUUUUAUUAAUUAAAAAAUUAAUUUGAAUUAAAAAGACGAGAAGACCCUAUAGAUUUUAAUUAAUUUAUAAAAAAAAAUUUAAUAAUUUUUUUUUAUUUAUUUUAUAAAUUAAUUUAGUUGGGGUAAUAAAUAAAUUUAUAAAAUUUUAUUAUAUAAAACCAAAAAUUAUUGAUUAAUUGAUCUUGAAUUUUAGAUUUAGAGAAUAAAAUACCUUAGGGAUAACAGCAUAAUUUUAUUAGAAAGUUCUUAUUGAUAAUAAAUUUUGUGACCUCGAUGUUGAAUUAAGAUAAAAUUUAAAUGGAAAAAUUUAAAAUUUUGGU